This 1012-nucleotide unclassified non-coding RNA is filed under the name Hevea brasiliensis (rubber tree). Lineage: Eukaryota; Viridiplantae; Streptophyta; Magnoliopsida; Malpighiales; Euphorbiaceae. The record is from RNAcentral.
UUUCUUUACAAGAACUCAGGACGCCAUAUCGACGGUCUUGCAUAUGAUAUACAUAGUGCAUUUAAUUGUUGGAUAACAAUGUUUUUGGAUUAUAAAAAAGGGUUCUCUCUCUUGUUUUAAGAAAGAAAAUUUCUCCCAAAGUUUUUCAACCCCGAUUUUCUUCGCUCGAUUUAGCCGAGAAGUCAUAGUGGCCUUCCUCUGCCCAGUAGAGUUCACUGUUUUGUUAUCCGAACGGGUGAGGAGGUUAGCUCUCCCUCCUCUCUGAGAUCGGCACAUAUAUGGUUGGUAGGUUGUUUUGCGCAGGUGGGGAGAAAGGAGAGAGCAACUAUAGGACUUGCUUUUGAUAAGGUUGAAAGGUGGUGCUGCUAUCAUGGGGAAAGGGGGGGUUCACUGAGGAGCCUGCCAACGAGAGACGCAAAUGGCCUUGGUCCGAUGCAAUGUAAGCCUCUGUCUUCCUAGCAUAUGCUGCAAUUUGACUAAAUCUAGUGGCCUGUAUCAAGCAGUGGUUGAGGUUUCUCUAGUUCUAUGGUAUGUGCCAAUUGUUUAUUUUGCUAUGUUUGAGUUUCUUCGUUGUUGCUUUGCUCCAGCUAGAAUCUGUUUACCUAAGGAUGACUAGCAUUGUGUUAUGCUGGUGGAAAGAGUCCUAGUGGGAAAUCCAACAGAGAUCUUGUGAUGGUUGUGGAGUUUUGGUUGAUUGUGUGUCUCCAUCUUUUGCUGAAACUUUCUUGAAUCCUGUGCGCAUAUGAUUUUUUGGUGGUUUUAUUGUUGUGGGUUGGGUCUCUCUCUGAAUUAGGAUUCCUAUUGGAGCUGGGUUUAAACCUUGUUUUAUUGUAAACAUUUCAUGUGAACUGCCCAUUUUGGGCCUUGUUUGAUGCAAUACCAAAAUUGCAUGUUACACAACAACUUGGAUUUGUUGUAGCCAUUUCGUGUGAACUGCCCAUUUUGGGCCGUGUUUAAUGCAAUACCAUAAUUGCAUGUUGUACAGCAACUUGGAUUUAAAACUAGAGUGAAG